GAAAAAAGUGUAAUUAAAUAAAUUUCCUUAUAAAUUUUAUAAUAUUUUAAUUGUGUUACUUUUAGGACAAAAAAGAUAAAUUCAACAAUGUGAAUAAUCAAACAACUAGAGUGUAAAGUUGUGAGUGAGUGAAUUUGAUUACAAAAUGUCACGCAUAUACAGAAGACACUAAAAUUAUAUGGAUGCGCUUGAUUUAUUUGAAUAAAUGCUUGACUUAAAGUUUGAUGAAUGAAUGAUUUUUAGCAAAAAAGAAACAAAAAGGCUAAAAACAAAAUGAUUGUAAAUUAUGGUUUAUGUUAAACACAAACAUUAUUUUAUUUUGGUUAGCUUCAUCAUCAGCAACAACAAUUGGCUACACACAAUCUCAAGCAUCUUUAUGUAUUUUUUGUGG
Long non-coding RNA from Lucilia cuprina (Australian sheep blowfly), 391 nucleotides. RefSeq lists it as uncharacterized. The transcript has 3 exons. The record is from RefSeq and is a predicted model, not a curated record. NCBI's taxonomy places the organism in Eukaryota, Metazoa, Arthropoda, Insecta, Diptera, Calliphoridae.